AGCAGCGUGGCUCAGUGGAAAGAGCCCGGGCUUGGGAGUCAGAGGUCACGGGUUCGAAUCCCGGCCCUGCCA
Non-coding RNA from Ornithorhynchus anatinus (platypus), 72 nucleotides. NCBI's taxonomy places the organism in Eukaryota, Metazoa, Chordata, Mammalia, Monotremata, Ornithorhynchidae. The record is from Rfam.